Setaria italica (foxtail millet) is the source of this 1828-nucleotide RNA transcript. It is a transcript of the gene named pentatricopeptide repeat-containing protein At2g36240, with no coding region annotated. The transcript has 3 exons. Lineage: Eukaryota; Viridiplantae; Streptophyta; Magnoliopsida; Poales; Poaceae. The record is from RefSeq and is a predicted model, not a curated record.
GAAGGCCCGAAGCAAGCAAGCUUCCGCGACCGCAGCCAAUCGAUGGCGAUCGCCGCCGCUCGCCGGCGCCUGUGGCGCGGGAUGGGGACAGCGGCCGCGGCGGCGGCUGCGGGGACGGAAGAAACCCUACUCGCUCGCCUGGUCUCGGAGCCGGAGAGCCGCGUGAAGGCGACCGUGGAGGAGGUCGCUUCCUCGGCGCAGCACCGUGACGGCGGCUUCUGGGGGCCCCUCGCCGCCGCUCUCCUCCGCGCGUCCUCUCCGACAAAGGCGCACCUCGUAUUGGAAUGGAAGCUAGAGAAGCUACUGAAGGAAGAGGUUCAUGAUUGUGAGCCCUACUCAACAAUAAUCCAAUUCUGUGCUCAGACAAGAAAUUCAGCACUUGCAAUGAGAGUCUUUGAAUGCGUGGAGGCACAGGGAAUUCAUCUGAACACUGGCAUUUUCAAUGCCCUUGUUAACACUUUCUUGUCGGUCAGAGAUCUCCUCUCCGCAAUGACCUUAUAUGAGACUAUGGAAGGCAUGGAUGGUUGCAAGCCCGAUUGCUUUACAUAUGAUGCAUUUAUAUCUGCAUUUUCGAUCCUUGGAAGUGGCCAUGCGAUGAUGAGCUGGUAUGUAGCUGCAAAAAAUGCUGGGUUUACUCCAAGUAUUCAAGCUUUUGAAUCUUUGAUCACAGGGUUUAUUCGGUUGAACAUGCUAGAUGAUGCAAAAACGGUGUUUGAGGAAAUGAUUUCCUUGGGGAUUAAGCCAAACUCUGCUAUUUUGGAGGCAAAUCUUGAGAUUGUUACUAGAAAAGAGGAGGUCAACACAGUAAUAGACUUUUUAAAACGUGUGAGGGAUGGCAAUUGGGAGUUGAACAAAGCUACAGUUGAAAGGUUAACGAGAAUAUGCCUAGAUGGAGGUGAAAUAGAUGAAAUGGAGCAGCUGCUUGCCGUAAUACAAAAGGGAACACAUUCGAGUUAUGAAACACAACUGCACCAUGGAAUUAUCAGGUUCUAUGCUAAGGCAGAUCGAUUGGCAGAUAUGGAAGAUGCGAUUUGCUGGAUGUUGGACAACGGUGUGAUGUUUAUGUGCCCAGAGGAUGUUGAUGUCAUAAUCUGUUCUUAUUUUCGUCACAAGGAAUUUGAUAGAUUGGAUUUGUUCUUAAAUCGCAUUCAAAGUUUCUUCAAGCCGAACAGGUCUACGUAUGAUAUAUUGGUUGCUGGAUAUCGAAAGUUUGAUUUACAUGAAAGGCUUCAUUCGACCAUAAAUGAUAUGAGGCAAGCUGGGUUUGCAUGAGCUCACGGAAAACCUUAAGUGCAUCAUGGCAGCAAAAUGAAAUCCUGGGUUACAUGUUCUCUUCACACAGUCCAACUCAAUGUUCUUUGACCAGUUCUAUGUCUGACACGGGAAGGAUCUCAGAUUCAGAUAAAUUAUCAUGCCCAACUAUUGAGAAACAUGUGGACAUAUGAGAAGCAUGAAGUUACCUGGAUGUUAAGCUUGGCAUUACACAAACAUCUUUUAGCCAAGACUCCACUGAUCUUAGAGGCUGCUGACGUUGCAGAAGGUGUUAUUUAGAAAGAUCAAUGGAAGGUUAGUUGAGAUAAUAGCUGUAGCCACCUGACUUGUCAUUAGCAUGAUCGGCUGGUCAACAGUACAACAUGGACAUGCAUACUCUAGCAGUGUCACAGAUGUCAAAUCCGGAUUUUGAUGAAAUAUUGGAUAAUGUUUUUCCUUAACUCCAUACUUUAUCAUAGUAAUUCUGCUAAUUUUUUCAUUGCUUUUCUAUUUUGUAUGGAAUCAUAUAAAUAUGUUUUUAUGUUUAUGUAUUAUGUUGCACUGUUUCCAAGGAGAA